This 253-nucleotide ribosomal RNA is filed under the name uncultured bacterium. RNAcentral describes it as "partial 16S ribosomal RNA". It matches the Rfam family "Bacterial small subunit ribosomal RNA", at positions 524 to 776 of the family's 1533-position model. The record is from RNAcentral.
GACAGAGGGUGCAAACGUUGUUCGGAAUUACUGGGCGUAAAGCGUGUGUAGGUGGUCGCGUAAGUCGGAUGUGAAAGCCCUGGGCUCAACUCAGGAAGUGCACUCGAUACUGCGUGACUAGAGUACCGGAGAGGUUGGUGGAAUUCUCGGUGUAGAGGUGAAAUUCGUAGAUAUCGAGAGGAACACCUGUGGCGAAGGCGGCCAACUGGACGAGUACUGACACUGAGACACGAAAGCGUGGGGAGCAAACAGG